Molecule: non-coding RNA, 29 nt
Filed under: Mus musculus (house mouse)
Lineage: Eukaryota; Metazoa; Chordata; Mammalia; Rodentia; Muridae
Source: RNAcentral
UAUUUCAGGUCAAGGCCUCUCUUUGAGUA